CACGUAGGGAGCAAGCGUUGUCCGGAUUUAUUGGGCGUAAAGAGCUCGCAGGCUGUUCGAUAAGUCGGGUGUGAAACCUCCAGGCUCAACCUGGAGACGCCACCCGAUACUGUCAUGACUAGAGUCCGGUAGGGGAGCGUGGAAUUCCUGGUGUAGCGGUGAAAUGCGCAGAUAUCAGGAGGAACACCAGCGGCGAAGGCGGCGCUGUGGGCCGGUACUGACGCUGAGGAGCGAAAGCGUGGGUAGCAAACAGG
This 254-nucleotide ribosomal RNA is filed under the name uncultured bacterium. Its description in RNAcentral is "partial 16S ribosomal RNA". It matches the Rfam family "Bacterial small subunit ribosomal RNA", at positions 524 to 776 of the family's 1533-position model. The record is from RNAcentral.